Molecule: ribosomal RNA, 417 nt
Filed under: uncultured bacterium
Lineage: Bacteria
Description: partial 16S ribosomal RNA
Rfam family: Bacterial small subunit ribosomal RNA
Source: RNAcentral
AAUAUUGGUCAAUGGGCGGGAGCCUGAACCAGCCAUGCCGCGUGCGGGACGAAGGCCNNNUGGGUNGAAAACCGCUUUUACACNGGANAAACCGCAGCUACGAGUAGCUGCCUGAGGGUACCGUUGGAAUAAGGCUCGGCUAACCCCGGGCCAGCAGCCGCGGUAAUACGGAGGAUCCGAGCGUUAUCCGGAAUUAUUGGGUUUAAAGGGUGCGUAGGCGGCACUUUAAGUCAGGGGUGAAAUACAGCGGCUAAACCGUUGCAGUGCCCUUGAUACUGAAGUGCUUGAAUGUGGCCGAAGGAGGCGGAACGGGACAAGUAGCGGUGAAAUGCAUAGAUAUGUCCCAGAACCCCGAUUGCGAAGGCAGCUUCCUAGACCGUUAUUGACGCUGAUGAACGAAAGCGUGGGGAUCGAACA